Molecule: transfer RNA, 72 nt
Filed under: Fukomys damarensis (Damara mole-rat)
Lineage: Eukaryota; Metazoa; Chordata; Mammalia; Rodentia; Bathyergidae
Rfam family: tRNA
About the family: Transfer RNA (tRNA) molecules are approximately 80 nucleotides in length.
Source: Rfam by way of RNAcentral
GGGAAUAUAGCUUAGCAGUAGAGCAUUUGCUUAGCAUGCACAAGGGCCUGGGUUCAAUCCCCAGCGCUGCCA